This 387-nucleotide ribosomal RNA is filed under the name uncultured Gammaproteobacteria bacterium. Its description in RNAcentral is "bacterial SSU rRNA". It matches the Rfam family "Bacterial small subunit ribosomal RNA", at positions 371 to 751 of the family's 1533-position model. The record is from RNAcentral. Lineage: Bacteria; Pseudomonadati; Pseudomonadota; Gammaproteobacteria.
AUGGGCGCAAGCCUGAUCCAGCCAUGCCGCGUGUGUGAAGAAGGCCUUCGGGUUGUAAAGCUCUUUUGCYGGGAGGAAGGGCUGCUGGUUAAUACCUUGCGGUAWUGACGUUACCGGCAGAAUAAGCACCGGCUAACUCCGUGCCAGCAGCCGCGGUAAUACGGAGGGUGCAAGCGUUAAUCGGAAUUACUGGGCGUAAAGCGCGCGCAGGCGGUUCGUUAAGUCGGAUGUGAAAUCCCCGGGCUCAACCUGGGAACUGCAUUCGARACUGCCGAGCUAGAGUCUGGUAGAGGGGGGUGGAAUUCCAYGUGUAGCGGUGAAAUGCGUAGAUAUUGGGAGGAACACCAGUGGCGAAGGCGACCCCCUGGACCGAGACUGACGCUCAGG